GGUACUUGACAUACAACUAGAAGUCAAACUAUUUUUACAAUAGAAGCAACUUUAUCAGACUAUGGAACCUUAAAACACCCUUCAUCAUAUUAGAAACAUAGUGAAUCUAAAAGCCUUACAUAAUGCAAGCCACACAUCCAUUACUAUGCACAAAUUAAAUAUAUAUGGUUCUCUGCCGAAUGAGAAUUGAGAAAUCACCAUCUCAUCAUCCCUUCAUGCAGAGACUACAGUUUUCGACUAGCCACACUCUGUGAACAUGGCCAAGUGGUGCAUCACUACCAUAGUGGCCAACACGCAGGUUUCAAUCAAGGAUCUAAUGAUUACGAAACAUCUUUGCAGCUUAAACCUGUUGCAAAGAAAAACUGCCAUUCUCAAGUUGAAGUAGAGGAAAAGAUGCCAUUCACUGCACGUGAAUACACAGCCUCAUCGCUUCCUUAGUGGUGUGCCUUUACCCACAGCUUUCAUACUCUGCGAGUCCUUAAAACAAACGAAGUGCACAAGUGUUUUCCCAUUGGGAUAGACUGCAAAAACACUCGUUCCAAUUUUCUUGCUGCAAAGAGAGCACAUACUAUCACUGGUGAUCUUUACUACUGUUUUCCUUUGGUUGUACAAUUCCUCUUUCACCUGCAAGUUCUCACUUUGCCUCAAACUCUUGAUAACCAAGAGAUUCCGGUAUGCUUCGCUCGAUUUUCUCAUAAGAGGUCCAAGAAAAGGAAGCAAAUUCUGCAAUUUAGUUUCCUUUGGCAAAAGUUUGAGUGCCUGAGCUCCAUUGAUUCUGUCCCACCUUCUGCUCAAAAGGUCAAGGACCCCAUCAAGCAUGAUCGCUGAACCUCCUUCCUCCGUAAAUUCAUCUGCAUCACCAUCACUUCUACUACUGUCAGUACUACUAAGACUAAAACGCAUGUCCUCUGCACCCACUAUUGCAGCAAUUUUCUUAGCUCCACGACCUCCUUUAGCUUUAACUGAUGUACCAGAACCAACCUUUGUAAUACUUGUACCAUGAGACGACACUACAUUUGUAAUUAGCUUUUCAAAGUUAUUGAUUGUCUUCCGGGGAUUCAGAUAAAUUUGCAGAAGAGUAAGGUAUAUAUUGCCAGAAGAUUUUGCAGAUGGUUGAUGAGAUGCAGACUCAUAAACCCGAUCACAAUAGGACAAUGCAAGUUCAGGAACAUGAAGCUUAUGAACAUAAAGAGAUAAGGCAAGCUCAUGCUGGUUCAUUUUCCCCAGUAAAAUUGCACGCUCUUCAUAUAAUGCAUCUGCUGG
Molecule: unclassified non-coding RNA, 1263 nt
Filed under: Hevea brasiliensis (rubber tree)
Lineage: Eukaryota; Viridiplantae; Streptophyta; Magnoliopsida; Malpighiales; Euphorbiaceae
Source: RNAcentral